GUGGGAGCUGGCUUGCCUGCGAUGGCGUUUUCUCAGUCAGCAUCUUCUGUAACUGAUACACCGAUAUCGCAGGCAAGCCGGCUCCCAC
This 88-nucleotide unclassified non-coding RNA is filed under the name Pseudomonas costantinii. Lineage: Bacteria; Pseudomonadati; Pseudomonadota; Gammaproteobacteria; Pseudomonadales; Pseudomonadaceae. The record is from RNAcentral.